RNAcentral lists this ribosomal RNA (413 nucleotides) under uncultured bacterium. RNAcentral describes it as "bacterial SSU rRNA". It matches the Rfam family "Bacterial small subunit ribosomal RNA", at positions 11 to 430 of the family's 1533-position model. The record is from RNAcentral.
GUUUGAUCCUGGCUCAGAUUGAACGCUGGCGGCAUGCCUUACACAUGCAAGUCGAACGGUAACGCGGGGCAACCUGGCGACGAGUGGCGAACGGGUGAGUAAUGCAUCGGAACGUGCCCAGUAGUGGGGGAUAGCCCGGCGAAAGCCGGAUUAAUACCGCAUACGACCUACGGGUGAAAGCGGGGACUCGCAAGAGCCUCGCGCUAUUGGAGCGGCCGAUGUCAGAUUAGGUAGUUGGUGGGGUAAAAGCCUACCAAGCCGACGAUCUGUAGCUGGUCUGAGAGGACGACCAGCCACACUGGGACUGAGACACGGCCCAGACUCCUACGGGAGGCAGCAGUGGGGAAUUUUGGACAAUGGGCGCAAGCCUGAUCCAGCCAUGCCGCGUGCGGGAAGAAGGCCUCGGUGUAACG